Molecule: ribosomal RNA, 497 nt
Filed under: uncultured bacterium
Lineage: Bacteria
Description: partial 16S ribosomal RNA
Rfam family: Bacterial small subunit ribosomal RNA
Source: RNAcentral
GAUGAACGCUGGCGGCGUGCCUAAUACAUGCAAGUCGAGCGAACAGACGAGGCUCUUGCUCCGCUGACGUUAGCGGCGGACGGGUGAGUAACACGUGGAUAACCUACCUAUAAGACUGGGAUAACUUCGGGAAACCGGAGCUAAUACCGGAUAAUAUAUUGAACCGCAUGGUUCAAUAGUGAAAUACGGUUUUUCUGUCACUUAUAGAUGGAUCCGCGCCGCAUUAGCUAGUUGGUAAGGUAACGGCUUACCAAGGCAACGAUGCGUAGCCGACCUGAGAGGGUGAUCGGCCACCCUGGAACUGAGACACGGUCCAGACUCCUAAGGGAGGCAGCAGUAGGGAAUCUUCCGCAAUGGGCGAAAGCCUGACGGAGCAACGCCGCGUGAGUGAUGAAGGUCUUCGGAUCGUAAAACUCUGUUAUUAGGGAAGAACAAAUGUGUAAGUAACUAUGCACGUCUUGACGGUACCUAAUCAGAAAGCCACGGCUAACUACGUG